RNAcentral lists this transfer RNA (73 nucleotides) under Bos taurus (domestic cattle). It matches the Rfam family "tRNA". From Rfam's summary of the family: Transfer RNA (tRNA) molecules are approximately 80 nucleotides in length. Their secondary structure includes four short double-helical elements and three loops (D, anti-codon, and T loops). Further hydrogen bonds mediate the characteristic L-shaped molecular structure. tRNAs have two regions of fundamental functional importance: the anti-codon, which is responsible for specific mRNA codon recognition, and the 3' end, to which the tRNAs corresponding amino acid is attached (by aminoacyl-tRNA synthetases). tRNAs cope with the degeneracy of the genetic code in two manners: having more than one tRNA (with a specific anti-codon) for a particular amino acid; and 'wobble' base-pairing, i.e. permitting non-standard base-pairing at the 3rd anti-codon position. Lineage: Eukaryota; Metazoa; Chordata; Mammalia; Artiodactyla; Bovidae. The record is from Rfam by way of RNAcentral. RNAcentral also lists the same sequence under 3 other names.
UCUUUGGUGGUCCAGUGGCUGGGACUCGGCAUUCUCAAAGCAGAGAGCCUGGGUUUGAUCCCUGGUCAGGGAA